CCCUGGCUCAGGACGAACGCUGGCGGCGUGCCUAAUACAUGCAAGUCGAGCGGAAUGAUGAAGAAGCUUGCUUCUUCUGAUUUUAGCGGCGGACGGGUGAGUAACACGUGGGCAACCUACCUUGUAGAUUGGGAUAACUCCGGGAAACCGGGGCUAAUACCGAAUAAUCCAUUUUGCUUCAUGGCAAGAUGUUGAAAGGCGGCUUCGGCUGUCACUACGAGAUGGGCCCGCGGCGUAUUAGCUAGUUGGUAGGGUAAUGGCCUACCAAGGCGACGAUACGUAGCCGACCUGAGAGGGUGAUCGGCCACACUGGGACUGAGACACGGCCCAGACUCCUACGGGAGGCAGCAGUAGGGAAUCUUCCACAAUGGACGAAAGUCUGAUGGAGCAACGCCGCGUGAGUGAAGAAGGUUUUCGGAUCGUAAAACUCUGUUGUAAGGGAAGAACACGUACGAGAGUAACUGCUCGUACCUUGACGGUACCUUAUUAGAAAGCC
Molecule: ribosomal RNA, 496 nt
Filed under: Sporosarcina sp. CL6.62
Lineage: Bacteria; Bacillati; Bacillota; Bacilli; Caryophanales; Caryophanaceae
Description: bacterial SSU rRNA
Rfam family: Bacterial small subunit ribosomal RNA
Source: RNAcentral